This 253-nucleotide ribosomal RNA is filed under the name uncultured bacterium. Its description in RNAcentral is "partial 16S ribosomal RNA". It matches the Rfam family "Bacterial small subunit ribosomal RNA", at positions 524 to 776 of the family's 1533-position model. The record is from RNAcentral.
UACGAAGGGGGCUAGCGUUGUUCGGAAUCACUGGGCGUAAAGGGCGCGUAGGCGGCCGAUCAAGUCGGGGGUGAAAGCCUGUGGCUCAACCACAGAAUUGCCUUCGAUACUGUUUGGCUUGAGACCGGAAGAGGUUAGUGGAACUGCGAGUGUAGAGGUGAAAUGCUUAGAGAUGACAUAGAACACCUAUUGCGAAGGCAGCUUACUACGCAGAUAUUGACGCUCAUGCACGAAAGCGUGGGGAUCAAACAGG